RNAcentral lists this ribosomal RNA (2904 nucleotides) under Escherichia coli. Its description in RNAcentral is "bacterial LSU rRNA". It matches the Rfam family "Bacterial large subunit ribosomal RNA". Lineage: Bacteria; Pseudomonadati; Pseudomonadota; Gammaproteobacteria; Enterobacterales; Enterobacteriaceae. The record is from RNAcentral.
UUAAGCGACUAAGCGUACACGGUGGAUGCCCUGGCAGUCAGAGGCGAUGAAGGACGUGCUAAUCUGCGAUAAGCGUCGGUAAGGUGAUAUGAACCGUUAUAACCGGCGAUUUCCGAAUGGGGAAACCCAGUGUGAUUCGUCACACUAUCAUUAACUGAAUCCAUAGGUUAAUGAGGCGAACCGGGGGAACUGAAACAUCUAAGUACCCCGAGGAAAAGAAAUCAACCGAGAUUCCCCCAGUAGCGGCGAGCGAACGGGGAGCAGCCCAGAGCCUGAAUCAGUGUGUGUGUUAGUGGAAGCGUCUGGAAAGGCACGCGAUACAGGGUGACAGCCCCGUACACAAAAAUGCACAUGCUGUGAGCUCGAUGAGUAGGGCGGGACACGUGGUAUCCUGUCUGAAUAUGGGGGGACCAUCCUCCAAGGCUAAAUACUCCUGACUGACCGAUAGUGAACCAGUACCGUGAGGGAAAGGCGAAAAGAACCCCGGCGAGGGGAGUGAAAAAGAACCUGAAACCGUGUACGUACAAGCAGUGGGAGCACGCUUAGGCGUGUGACUGCGUACCUUUUGUAUAAUGGGUCAGCGACUUAUAUUCUGUAGCAAGGUUAACCGAAUAGGGGAGCCGAAGGGAAACCGAGUCUUAACUGGGCGUUAAGUUGCAGGGUAUAGACCCGAAACCCGGUGAUCUAGCCAUGGGCAGGUUGAAGGUUGGGUAACACUAACUGGAGGACCGAACCGACUAAUGUUGAAAAAUUAGCGGAUGACUUGUGGCUGGGGGUGAAAGGCCAAUCAAACCGGGAGAUAGCUGGUUCUCCCCGAAAGCUAUUUAGGUAGCGCCUCGUGAAUUCAUCUCCGGGGGUAGAGCACUGUUUCGGCAAGGGGGUCAUCCCGACUUACCAACCCGAUGCAAACUGCGAAUACCGGAGAAUGUUAUCACGGGAGACACACGGCGGGUGCUAACGUCCGUCGUGAAGAGGGAAACAACCCAGACCGCCAGCUAAGGUCCCAAAGUCAUGGUUAAGUGGGAAACGAUGUGGGAAGGCCCAGACAGCCAGGAUGUUGGCUUAGAAGCAGCCAUCAUUUAAAGAAAGCGUAAUAGCUCACUGGUCGAGUCGGCCUGCGCGGAAGAUGUAACGGGGCUAAACCAUGCACCGAAGCUGCGGCAGCGACGCUUAUGCGUUGUUGGGUAGGGGAGCGUUCUGUAAGCCUGUGAAGGUGUACUGUGAGGUAUGCUGGAGGUAUCAGAAGUGCGAAUGCUGACAUAAGUAACGAUAAAGCGGGUGAAAAGCCCGCUCGCCGGAAGACCAAGGGUUCCUGUCCAACGUUAAUCGGGGCAGGGUGAGUCGACCCCUAAGGCGAGGCCGAAAGGCGUAGUCGAUGGGAAACAGGUUAAUAUUCCUGUACUUGGUGUUACUGCGAAGGGGGGACGGAGAAGGCUAUGUUGGCCGGGCGACGGUUGUCCCGGUUUAAGCGUGUAGGCUGGUUUUCCAGGCAAAUCCGGAAAAUCAAGGCUGAGGCGUGAUGACGAGGCACUACGGUGCUGAAGCAACAAAUGCCCUGCUUCCAGGAAAAGCCUCUAAGCAUCAGGUAACAUCAAAUCGUACCCCAAACCGACACAGGUGGUCAGGUAGAGAAUACCAAGGCGCUUGAGAGAACUCGGGUGAAGGAACUAGGCAAAAUGGUGCCGUAACUUCGGGAGAAGGCACGCUGAUAUGUAGGUGAAGUCCCUCGCGGAUGGAGCUGAAAUCAGUCGAAGAUACCAGCUGGCUGCAACUGUUUAUUAAAAACACAGCACUGUGCAAACACGAAAGUGGACGUAUACGGUGUGACGCCUGCCCGGUGCCGGAAGGUUAAUUGAUGGGGUUAGCGGUAACGCGAAGCUCUUGAUCGAAGCCCCGGUAAACGGCGGCCGUAACUAUAACGGUCCUAAGGUAGCGAAAUUCCUUGUCGGGUAAGUUCCGACCUGCACGAAUGGCGUAAUGAUGGCCAGGCUGUCUCCACCCGAGACUCAGUGAAAUUGAACUCGCUGUGAAGAUGCAGUGUACCCGCGGCAAGACGGAAAGACCCCGUGAACCUUUACUAUAGCUUGACACUGAACAUUGAGCCUUGAUGUGUAGGAUAGGUGGGAGGCUUUGAAGUGUGGACGCCAGUCUGCAUGGAGCCGACCUUGAAAUACCACCCUUUAAUGUUUGAUGUUCUAACGUUGACCCGUAAUCCGGGUUGCGGACAGUGUCUGGUGGGUAGUUUGACUGGGGCGGUCUCCUCCUAAAGAGUAACGGAGGAGCACGAAGGUUGGCUAAUCCUGGUCGGACAUCAGGAGGUUAGUGCAAUGGCAUAAGCCAGCUUGACUGCGAGCGUGACGGCGCGAGCAGGUGCGAAAGCAGGUCAUAGUGAUCCGGUGGUUCUGAAUGGAAGGGCCAUCGCUCAACGGAUAAAAGGUACUCCGGGGAUAACAGGCUGAUACCGCCCAAGAGUUCAUAUCGACGGCGGUGUUUGGCACCUCGAUGUCGGCUCAUCACAUCCUGGGGCUGAAGUAGGUCCCAAGGGUAUGGCUGUUCGCCAUUUAAAGUGGUACGCGAGCUGGGUUUAGAACGUCGUGAGACAGUUCGGUCCCUAUCUGCCGUGGGCGCUGGAGAACUGAGGGGGGCUGCUCCUAGUACGAGAGGACCGGAGUGGACGCAUCACUGGUGUUCGGGUUGUCAUGCCAAUGGCACUGCCCGGUAGCUAAAUGCGGAAGAGAUAAGUGCUGAAAGCAUCUAAGCACGAAACUUGCCCCGAGAUGAGUUCUCCCUGACUCCUUGAGAGUCCUGAAGGAACGUUGAAGACGACGACGUUGAUAGGCCGGGUGUGUAAGCGCAGCGAUGCGUUGAGCUAACCGGUACUAAUGAACCGUGAGGCUUAACCUU